RNAcentral lists this long non-coding RNA (1350 nucleotides) under Lupinus angustifolius (narrow-leaved blue lupine). RNAcentral describes it as "long non-coding RNA (LANG_LNC002279)". The record is from RNAcentral. Lineage: Eukaryota; Viridiplantae; Streptophyta; Magnoliopsida; Fabales; Fabaceae.
UCCUUUUAUAGACAAGAUUCAACUUCAGAGAAAGUUCCAAUGGUUCUCAAAAGUUUCUAUUUAGAGUAGGCAUUAAAUGUAUUGGUUCGUUGAUCUUUGAUACUGAGAAGUAAGAGUGGAAACAUGCCAGGUCAAGCCACACUCUAUCUUAAACAAGCCGAGCCUACAUAACAUAUAGGAUUCUAGGUCUGAGUUUGUUCUUCUUCAGAUCCUUGUCCUUGUUCAAGUCUAACAUAGGAAUUCUUGGACAUGUCUUAUGAGGAUCCAUGACUAACUUAGUUCCUUCAAAAUGGGGUAACCAUAAAAUCUGAACGUUGUUGCUUGCUUUGAAUGCCCAGGGUACUCAAACUUUUCUUGAAGAUGAGCAAACAGAAAUAAGUUUGUGAGUAAUCUAACUUCUCCAUAAUUUCUCGGGUGUACAAAAUACUUCCACUUCAAAUCUUGACCGAAGAUCAAACACUCAUUUCCAUAGGUUUUGGAUGUUUGAUACUUUUCAUUUCUAGAUUCCAAUUUAACUGGCACAAAUUACCAUUCUGGAUUACAUCCCUAUCAAAUCCAUCUUGAUAGGGGUAAUGGGUGUUAGAUUUACAAGGUUGAGGUAGAUUUUGGUUGGUGAGAAUAUGUGAUUGGCCAAGUGGGUUACAAAGGAUCCAAGAUUAUUGACUGUCAUAGAAGGAAUGGACCUUCUUCAUAGAAAAUGGUUGUGGACCAAGCGUACACGAUUAGUGAGCAUUUAGUUUUAUAUUCAGGUAAGGGAUAGAAGAGUUUAAUGGGUAGAGUUAUGUUUCCAAUGAAUGUAAUAGCACUUUUCAUUCUCUUCUAAUUUGGUCAUGAUUUUCAGCAUGUCUAUCAUAGAGAGUGGAUUAGUCUAUGAAAGUGAAUUGAGUUUUGGAAUGUUUUGGGUAUGUUGCUCCUAUAAGUAUGGAGGAAAAGUUGUUUUGAGGUGAUAGUAUUUGGUUAUCCAUAGGGUUGAGGGUGAGGGUCUUGUGGUUGUUGUAUGGGUUGUGAAGGUUGUUAUGGUUUUGGUGGAGUAGCGUCAGCAAUAUCAUCUACGUUCUCUACAAGUGUCUUCAUUUCUAUAUGAACAAACACAUUACAGAAAGGGAUUACCUCUUAUGUGUGGCGACUUAGCCUUUGGUGAUCUCAUUUUCUUGGCCACUGUUGUACGAAAGGUACCAACACAUAUCUUCUAUAUUUUUCUCAAGAUGGGGAUGCUAUUAUCAUCACUUUCCUCCUCCAUUGUCCAGAAGAGUUUCUCCAUUGUAAAAAAGAAUCUCUCCUUUAUCUUAGCUAAGUUUUGACGAAUACAUUAACAUCAAUAAAGAAGAAAAAAGUUGAAGGCCUUUUUAG